GAUCAUGGCUCAGGAUGAACGCUAGCGGCAGGCCUAACACAUGCAAGUCGAGGGGCAGCGGGGGAUUGAGCUUGCUCAAUUUGCCGGCGACCGGCGCACGGGUGCGUAACGCGUAUGUAACCUACCCUGAACUGGGGGAAUAACACUGAGAAAUCGGUACUAAUACCCCAUAAUACACUGGAAGGCAUCUUUUGGUGUUGAAAGCUCCGGCGGUUCAAGAUGGACAUGCGUUGUAUUAG
RNAcentral lists this ribosomal RNA (239 nucleotides) under uncultured bacterium. RNAcentral describes it as "partial 16S ribosomal RNA". It matches the Rfam family "Bacterial small subunit ribosomal RNA", at positions 15 to 244 of the family's 1533-position model. The record is from RNAcentral.